UGGGUGAAUAGGCAAUUUGCAAAACGUGCUCCAAAAUCGCGAUAAUUUGACGAUGUUAGCGCGACUUAUCGCGAUCUCUGCUACUUGGGUAGUUGCUGCAGCUACGCAGCGAUGUAUUGUUUGGUUCAGAAGCUUUUAGCUCGAUGUAAUUUUAGGUUACAAUCGUAAGAUUACUUACAACUGUCAGCUCUUAACGUUCAGAAACAAGGUAAUCUUUCAAAAUAAUAUCAACACACUAAGAUUCAUACUUCCAGGUGCCUGAUUGUGACUUACGAUCGCUCAUAUAAAUGCUCGGUAUUCUUGACGAGAAGCACCAAUUGCCCUUUCACCUUCUUUCACUAUUAAGUCAAGAAAGCAGAGUAAAGAACACAUAAUGAAAUUCAUCGUAGCUCUCGUCGCCGCUUUGGCUUGUGCUAACAUGGCCGCCGGUCAUUUUCUGCACAAGGAGAAAUUCGGAUGCAAGGAGCCGAUCAUAUGUGCUCAGCCUGCCCCUUGCGUCGUCGAGAAGCCUGUUCCAGUCCCUGUUCUGGUGAAAUCACCACCAAAAAUCAUCGAGAAACCUGUCAAAGUCCCUGUGGCCGUACCAGUGCCAGUGCCUUGUGAAAAACCCUGCGAAACACCCUGUGAAACACCCUGUUACUCCACCCCAGUUGAGUCUUGUUGCUCAACCCCAGUUGAGUCCAGUUGCUCAACCCCUCCCUGUUGGGUCCAGUUGUUGCAGUCUGCUGAUUCAAGUUGGUCGACUCCCGUUACCUUCAGCUACUCCUAUUCUAAUCAAACACCGGUCACAUAUUGAUGGUGAAACUGCAGAAAUACGUAUGUCGGUCUCCGGCGUUGCAAACUUCCUGUCAUUCUUGAAUCGCAUAUGGCAAACAGGCACUAGCCUGGUUACACUGUUUUCAAAAUCGUGCAACCUCUUUUUCCUUUUAAAAAUACUAAAUUUAAAAACGGUAUAAAAAUUUACCUGAUUAUUUCCCUUUAAAAUGAACAAUUUUUUUGUGGGAUGCAAAAACUAUUCAAUAUUCUGUGAAAUUUUUUUGAGAUAAUUAUGAAGAGGCAACAUUUUAACAACACUGUAAUUGCGCUGGUUCCAUUUUGCUAAAUGCGAUCCACUAUGUUUUCUCUUUGGAAAACUACCGAGCGUCAUUUUUUUUAAGGUUUUGUGAUCUUUAUUCCCCGUGUUAUGAAUGUGAAAAUUUAAAUCCAUAAUGUUUGUUCGGUCUCCAUUCAAAAAAUGAAGUAUAAGCGGAGAUUUUGAAACAAUGCAACCGAACUACGCAUUUUUGCAGUUUCCCCGUCGAUUUAGCUCUUCGUCCUACUACUCAUUACCUGUGACUUACAGUUCUUUUUGCGUGCUCCUCCACGUGUCGGUAAUGUUCUCGUGUUCAUCAUCCCCUUGCUACUGAAUACUUUCAACUUUGAAAAUGAUGGAAAUAUGACUAACAUUGAAUUGAAUAAAUGAUACGUAUUUUCAAAUCACAUUAGCUAUUGUUCUUCACUUCCUCAAACAAAACAUACUUAUUUUAUGACGAAUGUACUAUACUUACACCCACUUUCUAUAUUUUGUCGAAGAGGAACUGAUCAUGCUUCUAAAUAAUUUGCAUAUACAGCCAUAUUCUGAGGGCUGUUCUCUACUCUGAUCAUGAUUAUGAUUAACAUUAGGAAAAGUGUAUCAUGUUCAGUGUUCGAAACCCACCUUUGAGUUUUAGGAGCCAAGUCCCAUCAAACCCAAUUUUUAGGCGCC
RNAcentral lists this long non-coding RNA (1744 nucleotides) under Bemisia tabaci. RNAcentral describes it as "lncRNA ENSSSA2NGG000362". The record is from RNAcentral. Lineage: Eukaryota; Metazoa; Arthropoda; Insecta; Hemiptera; Aleyrodidae.